CCUACGGGAGGCUGCAGUGGGGAAUAUUGCACAAUGGGGGAAACCCUGAUGCAGCAACGCCGCGUGGGUGAAGGAGCGUUUCGGCGCGUAAAGCUCUGUCAGCGGGGAAGAAGAAAGACGGUACCCGACCAAGAAGCCCCGGCUAACUACGUGCCAGCAGCCGCGGUAAUACGUAGGGGGCGAGCGUUAUCCGGAAUUACUGGGUGUAAAGGGGGGGUAGCCGGCGGGGUAAGUCUGAAGUGAAAGCCCGCGGCCCAACCGCGGAACUGCAUUUGGAACUGUUUUUCUGGAGUACUGGAGAGGUAAGCGGAAUUCCUGGUGUAGCGGUGAAAUGCGUAGAUAUUAGGAGGAACACCAGUGGCGAAGGCGGCUUACUGGACCGUAACUGACGUUGAGGCUCGAAAGCGUGGGGAGCGAACAGGAUUAGAUACCCGAGUAGUC
Molecule: ribosomal RNA, 441 nt
Filed under: uncultured bacterium
Lineage: Bacteria
Description: partial 16S ribosomal RNA
Rfam family: Bacterial small subunit ribosomal RNA
Source: RNAcentral